UACGUAGGGGGCAAGCGUUGUUCGGAUUUACUGGGCGUAAAGGGUGUGUAGGCGGUUAUGCAAGUCGAAUGUGAAAUACCUUGGCUCAACCAAGGAAGUGCAUUCGAAACUACAUAGCUAGAGUUCGGGAGAGGAGAGCGGAAUUCUCGGUGUAGCGGUGAAAUGCGUGGAGAUCGAGAAGAACACCAGCGGUGAAGACGGCUCUCUAGACCGGUACUGACGCUUAGGCACGAAAGCGUGGGGAGCGAACGGG
Molecule: ribosomal RNA, 253 nt
Filed under: uncultured bacterium
Lineage: Bacteria
Description: partial 16S ribosomal RNA
Rfam family: Bacterial small subunit ribosomal RNA
Source: RNAcentral